RNAcentral lists this long non-coding RNA (1697 nucleotides) under Cottoperca gobio. RNAcentral describes it as "lncRNA (ENSCGOG00000000600.1)". Lineage: Eukaryota; Metazoa; Chordata; Actinopteri; Perciformes; Bovichtidae. The record is from RNAcentral.
CCCUUGUGGAAAAGCCUACAUUUUCACUAUUUUUCGUUCUGGGGAGGAUCCAAAAAUCCACCCAAUAAACCAAAUUAGCAGUAAAAAAAUGUACACAACUAUCUAUUUCAUACAAAUUAAAGUUAUGAAAAAGAAAUGGAUGUGCGUUGUUCUAUCUCGGGUAGGGGUAUCUAAUCCAAUGAGAAAAAAACACCGUCAACUGAACUCAGAUAUUAAAUGUUGCAUCCCUGUCGCAAAGGGGUUUUCUGUUGUUAUUGCAAUGCAUUGACAAUGUUAUACUUACGUGUAUGUACUAUUGUAUGUGUGGGAGCACAAUGGUUUAACAAACUAAACAUUCCUGCACUAAUGCUGUAAUAAAGCUAUUCUCUUGCCUGUCAUCACUAAACACACUGCUUUAGCAAGGCACAGCUAAAGAGAUUAAAGUCACAUGCACACACACACACACACACACACACACACACACACACACACACACACACACACACACACACACCCUGAAACCGGUGUUGUCUGGACUGCACACUGGCACAUAAUUAUUUAUUCUAUAUAUCCAGUCACUCUUUAAAGUACUAAUAACUUAAUCACAGGGUGUAGACAAAAUAAUGGGAACACCUGACCGUGUAACACAAUCCUUAUGGAGGAAGAUAUUGAGGGUGUGUAUUUAUAUUAUCCAUUAGUACUUCUAGCUAUGUAUUAUGUUCUACUAUAUAGUAUUUCAUUCUUUACUACACAUUCUCUACUAGAAAAUGAAGAAAAUAAUUUUACUUUGUACCAUGGUUACCAUGGUGAAGAGAUUUUAGUGGCCAUGUGUCAAUUUAUUGGAUGCACUUACAAAUAACAUUUUCUCACAAAACAGCAAUUUUGAACCAUACACACAAACCUAGAGGAUGACAUACUGCACUAUACCUUGCUUUGGCAAACCAGUGACACAAUCAUUGCUACCCAUCCCUUAUAAUUGGUAUGUUAUGCAUUCGUAUUUAUUUAUUUAUGUAAAAUUGGGUACAAUUCAAUACUGUGACAGACGUAUACAGUGAUAUGUAACUGUACAGAUAACUGCCGUCAUUUGGCAACAUAAAGAUGCGUCCCAAGUUUGACCUAUUCCUCUGAAUGGAAAAAUCUAAAUAAAAUGUAUUUUAAAAGUUCUUGAGAUGAGUCCUGCUACUAGAGAAGAUGAAGAUGGGGAGGCAACAACUUCACGGCUGUGAGUCAGACAAUGAGAGCGCACUGUGGCAUGUGACAUGACCUGCUCAGCCACCCGUGUGUGUCAGAACACUGAUUUAGAUGAGACGGAAGUUUUGAAGUCUGUUGUCAAUCAUAACAUAAGAAAAAAAACCAGCAUCGCCUAAAGAAACUCAAACGUGGUGUUCAUCGCUGUGGCGUUUUUGCACUGCACACGGCAUUGUGUUGUCUUCUUUGCAAGAUUUUCUGAAGUUUAUGUAGGUGACACUCUUGUAUGUCAAUGAUGAUAAGCUAAUAGUAAAUGAUUUCUCCUGCUGUGCAGAACAAAUCAUUUUGUGUGCGCUGGAUCCCACCUGACGCAGAGAGACUAGCUGUGGUAGUUUUUAGUACAAGCGCAGUAGUUUAUGCAAUCAGAAUAUUCAGAUGUUGACUUUUAAAUGCAUGAAUACAACACAGACAAAAAUAUUGUUGGAGUAUAGGUAAUAACUAGGCAACAACCGGCUGCAGGAAAUGCUCAA